CUGGGUAGCUCAGCUGGUGAGAGCGCUGGUCUCAUAAGCCGGAGGUCGACGGUUCAAGUCCGUCCCC
Molecule: transfer RNA, 67 nt
Filed under: marine eukaryotic metagenome
Rfam family: tRNA
About the family: Transfer RNA (tRNA) molecules are approximately 80 nucleotides in length. Their secondary structure includes four short double-helical elements and three loops (D, anti-codon, and T loops).
Source: RNAcentral